AGCUGCAGAACCAGCUAAUGAGUUUCCUUCUGAUAACAGGUUUGUUAAGAGCCUGGUAAGAAGUGCAAGAUUGACAAAGUUCUGGAGGCCAGAAUUCUAAAUUCCCUCCCACUGAGUCAAGGUGGGAGCAGGGCAAGUGCCUUCGGAGGCUCUGUGGGAGAAUCCAUUUCCUGGCUCUGGAGGCAGCCUGCACUCCUCGACUUUUGAUGCCCUCCUUGAAUGACUCCAAUUUCUCGCUUCCAUCACUACACCUCCCACCACUCUCCCAUCACCUGCUCUGCUCUUACAAGGAUCAGUGAGUACAUCAACUUGCCACCUAAAGAAGCCGGGAUAAUCUUCCCUGCCAAAGGUCCUUAACUUCAUUACAUCUGCAAAGCUUCUUUUAC
Molecule: long non-coding RNA, 386 nt
Filed under: Homo sapiens (human)
Lineage: Eukaryota; Metazoa; Chordata; Mammalia; Primates; Hominidae
Description: non-protein coding lnc-ZNF22-2:4
Source: RNAcentral